AUGGCAGUGCCAGUACGUUUUCUCCAAAGGUACCUGGAUGAACUGAUUGGGAUUCGGGUUGGUGACUGCUGGGAUCCAGCAAAAGGGAAAGAAAGCAUAAUCAUUGGUGGUGCGGAGCAAUAUAUGAAGAAUCCUAUACAAGAUACACCGUGGAAUCCCCCCAAGAGGGGCUGGGUCAAAUUAAAUACAGAUGGUUCCUUUGCUGAAUCAGGUGGAGCGGGAGCCGGGAUGAUCCUGCGGGAUAACGCUGGAGCGAUGAUUUUCUCAUCAUGCAGAACCUUGUUCUCUUGUAGAGAUGCGUUGGAGGCAGAGCUAUGUGCAUGCAUGGAAGGUUUGUCCUUUGCAAUCCAGCGGUCGGAGCUACCAAUUGAAGUUGAGAUGGAUUCGAGCAAUGUAGUGUCUAUGAUUUCUUGUGAGGAGAUGGACCGCUCAAUUUAA
RNAcentral lists this ribosomal RNA (438 nucleotides) under Triticum aestivum (bread wheat). Its description in RNAcentral is "partial small subunit ribosomal RNA". Lineage: Eukaryota; Viridiplantae; Streptophyta; Magnoliopsida; Poales; Poaceae. The record is from RNAcentral.